GGAAACAGGAACAAGGUGGAACAGGGAAGGACCUAUGAAAAGGCAAAACCAGUCCACUCCAGGGGUAUAACUUCAUACAACUGCUUUGUACAGGAAAAUAAAGAGAAGUUAGGUAAAAUGGAAAACUGGUCCACUAGUUGGAAUAGACUCAGCCUUGAUGAUAAAAAGGACUAUCAAGAAAAGGCAAAGGAAAUGAACAGUGAACCAUCAGAACCACUGAGUCAUUCAAAACACCUGUUAAAAAAAAUUUGUAGUUUGAUUAAAGAACUUGCAGAAACUGGAGUGGAGGCAUGUGUGGUGGGGGUUGAUCUCAACCAAAACAUCAUUGAGAUGGGCACACCUAAGAUGUGUAGCUUUCUGAAAGACAACCCUGACCUAGUACAGAAGGUUUACCUUCAUAUUACAAAUGGUAUAUAUA
Mytilus californianus (California mussel) is the source of this 418-nucleotide long non-coding RNA. RefSeq lists it as uncharacterized. The record is from RefSeq and is a predicted model, not a curated record. Lineage: Eukaryota; Metazoa; Mollusca; Bivalvia; Mytilida; Mytilidae. The transcript is spliced from 3 exons.